This 397-nucleotide ribosomal RNA is filed under the name uncultured bacterium. RNAcentral describes it as "partial 16S ribosomal RNA". It matches the Rfam family "Bacterial small subunit ribosomal RNA", at positions 523 to 918 of the family's 1533-position model. The record is from RNAcentral.
AUACGAAGGGUGCAAGCGUUACUCGGAAUUACUGGGCGUAAAGCGUGCGUAGGUGGUUGUUUAAGUCUGUCGUGAAAGCCCUGGGCUCAACCUGGGAAUGGCGAUGGAAACUGGGCGACUAGAGUGUGGCAGAGGGUAGUGGAAUUCCUGGUGUAGCAGUGAAAUGCGUAGAGAUCAGGAGGAACACCCGUGGCGAAGGCGACUGCCUGGGCCAACACUGACACUGAGGCACGAAAGCGUGGGGAGCAAACAGGAUUAGAUACCCUGGUAGUCCACGCCCUAAACGAUGCGAACUGGAUGUUGGGUGCAAUUUGGCACGCAGUAUCGAAGCUAACGCGUUAAGUUCGCCGCCUGGGGAGUACGGUCGCAAGACUGAAACUCAAAGGAAUUGACGGGG